Molecule: long non-coding RNA, 815 nt
Organism: Oncorhynchus masou masou (cherry salmon)
Lineage: Eukaryota; Metazoa; Chordata; Actinopteri; Salmoniformes; Salmonidae
Exons: 4
Source: RefSeq, a predicted model, not a curated record
GUCAGGACAGGCAGAGUAGUUGGGCAGGCGGACUCAGAGACAGGACAGGUAAUGUUCAAAACCAGGGGGGCGAGAAAAAGAGAGACUGGAAAAAAGCAGGAGCCGAGAAAAACGCUGGUUGACUGGACAAACAAGACAAACUGGCAACGGACAAAACAGCGAAUACAGAAGGCCAAGAGGAUCAUCAAGGAUCUCAGCCACCUGAACCACGGUCUGUUCACCCCACUAUCAUCCAGAAGGCGAGUAGACUGCCCACUGUGGAGAAGAAUGCAACGGGGGCUGAGGGGGUUACCGGUGAGUCACAAGGGAGCCAUGGGAGAUAAGUGACAGCUCCCUAACCCCCACCGCCUGCAUCCCCACCUUCGCCUCUGGCCUCCCGCUCCUUGGCUGGAUGGCAGCCCUGCAUCAGGCUCACCGCAGACGCUGCUCCCCCCAUAUCCUCAACGUCCCCGUCCCCACUGGCUGAUCGAUACGGCUCUUCACCUUUCAUCUGACCAGAGCUUUGAAGAAGACGCACUUCCUGGAGAAAACCCAAUACAGCACUCACUGUCGAGUUCGCCUGCCUGCCAUCCUGUACCUUUGCCCCACUUCUCUGGAUUACCGACCUCUGCCUGACCUGACCCUGAGCCCACCUGCUGUUCCGGUGCAUUACACCCUCUCUGGAUUAUUUACCCCUGCCUGCCUUGACCUAUCAUUUGCCUGCCCCUGUUUAAAGAAUACGCUUUUGUUUCUAAUGUGAUAAUAUUAUUUAAUAUUAGUUCAAUAUUUUGGUUUAUGGAGGCUGUAUUCAGCCAAAAUAAAAAAUAUUCUAAAAA